RNAcentral lists this ribosomal RNA (714 nucleotides) under Priestia aryabhattai. Its description in RNAcentral is "bacterial SSU rRNA". It matches the Rfam family "Bacterial small subunit ribosomal RNA", at positions 56 to 751 of the family's 1533-position model. The record is from RNAcentral. Lineage: Bacteria; Bacillati; Bacillota; Bacilli; Caryophanales; Bacillaceae.
UGCAGUCGAGCGAACUGAUUAGAAGCUUGCUUCUAUGACGUUAGCGGCGGACGGGUGAGUAACACGUGGGCAACCUGCCUGUAAGACUGGGAUAACUUCGGGAAACCGAAGCUAAUACCGGAUAGGAUCUUCUCCUUCAUGGGAGAUGAUUGAAAGAUGGUUUCGGCUAUCACUUACAGAUGGGCCCGCGGUGCAUUAGCUAGUUGGUGAGGUAACGGCUCACCAAGGCAACGAUGCAUAGCCGACCUGAGAGGGUGAUCGGCCACACUGGGACUGAGACACGGCCCAGACUCCUACGGGAGGCAGCAGUAGGGAAUCUUCCGCAAUGGACGAAAGUCUGACGGAGCAACGCCGCGUGAGUGAUGAAGGCUUUCGGGUCGUAAAACUCUGUUGUUAGGGAAGAACAAGUACGAGAGUAACUGCUCGUACCUUGACGGUACCUAACCAGAAAGCCACGGCUAACUACGUGCCAGCAGCCGCGGUAAUACGUAGGUGGCAAGCGUUAUCCGGAAUUAUUGGGCGUAAAGCGCGCGCAGGCGGUUUCUUAAGUCUGAUGUGAAAGCCCACGGCUCAACCGUGGAGGGUCAUUGGAAACUGGGGAACUUGAGUGCAGAAGAGAAAAGCGGAAUUCCACGUGUAGCGGUGAAAUGCGUAGAGAUGUGGAGGAACACCAGUGGCGAAGGCGGCUUUUUUGGUCUGUAACUGACGCUGAGG